CACUCGGUAGCUCAAUUGGUUAGAGCGACAGACCGGACAUCUGGAGGUGUGGGUUCAAAUCCCACCUGGGCAUCUCA
Non-coding RNA from Diachasmimorpha longicaudata, 77 nucleotides. Lineage: Eukaryota; Metazoa; Arthropoda; Insecta; Hymenoptera; Braconidae. The record is from the annotation of a RefSeq genome assembly.